RNAcentral lists this ribosomal RNA (497 nucleotides) under uncultured bacterium. RNAcentral describes it as "partial 16S ribosomal RNA". It matches the Rfam family "Bacterial small subunit ribosomal RNA", at positions 28 to 507 of the family's 1533-position model. The record is from RNAcentral.
GACGAACGCUGGCGGCGUGCCUAAUACAUGCAAGUUGAGCGCUGAAGGUUGGUACUUGUACCAACUGGAUGAGCAGCGAACGGGUGAGUAACGCGUGGGGAAUCUGCCUUUGAGCGGGGGACAACAUUUGGAAACGAAUGCUAAUACCGCAUAAAAACUUUAAACACAAGUUUUAAGUUUGAAAGAUGCAAUUGCAUCACUCAAAGAUGAUCCCGCGUUGUAUUAGCUAGUUGGUGAGGUAAAGGCUCACCAAGGCGAUGAUACAUAGCCGACCUGAGAGGGUGAUCGGCCACAUUGGGACUGAGACACGGCCCAAACUCCUACGGGAGGCAGCAGGAGGGAAUCUUCGGCAAUGGACGAAAGUCUGACCGAGCAACGCCGCGGGAGGGAAGAAGGUUUUCGGAUCGGAAAACUCUGUUGGUAGAGAAGAACGUUGGUGAGAGUGGAAAGCUCAUCAAGUGACGGUAACUACCCAGAAAGGGACGGCUAACUACGUG